Molecule: ribosomal RNA, 497 nt
Filed under: uncultured bacterium
Lineage: Bacteria
Description: partial 16S ribosomal RNA
Rfam family: Bacterial small subunit ribosomal RNA
Source: RNAcentral
GAUGAACGCUGGCGGCGUGCCUAAUACAUGCAAGUCGAGCGAACAGACGAGGAUCUUGCUCCUCUGACGUUAGCGGCGGACGUGUGAGUAACACGUGUAUAACCUACCUAUAAGACUGGGAUCACUUCGGGAAACCGGAGCUAAUACCGUAUAAUAUAUUGAACCGCAUGGUUCAAUAGUGAAAGUCGGUUUUGCUGUCACUUAUAGAUGGAUCCGCGCCGCAUUAGCUAGUUGGUAAGGUAACGGCUUACCAAGGCAACGAUGCGUAGCCGACCUGAGAGGGUGAUCGGCGACACGGGAACGGAGACACGGUCAAGACUCCUACGGGAGGCAGCAGUAGGGAAUGUUCCGCAAUGGGCGAAAGCAUGACGGAGCAACGGCGCGUGAGUGAUGAAGGUCUUCGGAUCGUAAAACUCUGUUAUGAGGGAAGAACAAAUGUGUAAGUAACUAUGCACGUCUUGACGGUAACUAAUCAGAAAGCCACGGCUAACUACGUG